UCUGAACCCACGAAGAAGCUCAGAAUCCACAGUGCAACUGAAGCCUGGACUGGCUGUGUGGAAAGGAGUCUAUCCACAUCCCAAGGUUAACAGGAUAAGAAGUGGUGGCUUGGGAGACAAAGGCCCCUGUGUAAAAUCUCAGCCUGAACUAACCGAGAAGCCCUCUUUUUGACAUGAACCUAUUACCAAGGGGGCAAACCCUACCCGAAAGUUUUGAAGACUUUGUACUACCAGACCUCCUGUGGAAGAUGGGCAAUCCCUGAUCCCCAUCUUUGUCAGACCUUGGGGAAAGUAAUCACACUGUGGAAUCUGGGCUUGAUGAUGAGGAGAUUUAGAAGUAAAACUCAGCAGCAUAUGGAUGGCACAGCAGUCCAAAAUAUCCCACCAUCUCCCUGAGUGUCUUCACAUAUACACUGAAUGUGAUGGACCCUACAUUUGAGGGCUGUUGGGUAACAGAAGCAGUUAUCCGGCAGUGCCCCGU
Molecule: long non-coding RNA, 481 nt
Organism: Chelonia mydas (Green sea turtle)
Lineage: Eukaryota; Metazoa; Chordata; Testudines; Cheloniidae
Exons: 3
Source: RefSeq, a predicted model, not a curated record